Molecule: non-coding RNA, 241 nt
Filed under: Morchella brunnea
Lineage: Eukaryota; Fungi; Ascomycota; Pezizomycetes; Pezizales; Morchellaceae
Source: RNAcentral
AUGGAAAGUCCGGUGCUUUUUAAUCAUAUAAGUUAUUUUCUUAUUGUGGCAAUCCACUAAGCAAAUAUAAACAUAACAGAAUUAUGCGGUAAUUAAGGAUAAAAAUCCUGGAUUUAAAAAGAAAAUAUAAGCAUAGAGAUAAAUGUAAAUGCCUUUUAUCUCUAUUGAUAGUGAAAUAAGAAUCCUAUGAUAAGCUUUAAUUAGACUAACAGUUUAAUCAACUAAACAGAAUUCGGCUUAU